GGACAUUGUGUUUUGUGCACCUGCUCGAACUGAAACAAUUGAACUUGUAGCAAUACAAUUUUUUAGUGAUUUAGUAAUUGAACUGAUGGUCUUUUUGUCGAAUCGUGCACUGAAGAACUGGUGCAAGUCAUAUGGAAAAUAUACCAAAGAGAAACCGGAGGUGUGGCAGCACCGUUGUAGCACUUGUGGCUUUUAUAACAUUUUCAAGAGAAUCUAACCAUACACUUGCUGGCAAAAUGGAACUUCAAAUAAAGCUAUUUGGCAAGAGGCAACAUAGGGUAUCCUUUCUUUGCCAUAUUAUACCAAAUAACAAACAACAAAAAUUGGUUCUCAUAAGCAUUUCAACAAGCACCUAUAGACCAUCAAUUAUUCUCAUAUAAGUAUGGAAUCGAAUGGAGCAGCAGUAUAUAAGAAAACAAAAACCAUGGAACAUGGCGAUAAACAUCUAUACUCACAAUGGCAAAGUGUUUGUACUGCCGAAACAAACCUGCAAGAUGAACCAAAGGGGAGCUCCUUCACCUGCAAGAUGAAAAGAAAAUGCACACUAAGAUGACCUGAAGAACCACCAGAUGUUGAACUGAAUAUACAGAAGAGAAGGAGAUGAACAUCCAGGGGAAGGUGGGGAAAAGCUAGCACCUCCUGAGCUAUGGCGUAGAACAGUUUAGCGCUAUGUUGUUGAACGGCCCAAGCUGGUGGCUGUGAAUGGCCGGGGCGCUGCAGCAACAAAGCAUAAGACAUAAAACUCUGAGUAACUCGAUGGAAAUUAAGCAAAUUCAAAACUUAGUUUUGCUAAUUUUCUGGGUUAACAGGACAAUACGUAAGAAUUAGUGGUCAUGGCAUGCACUAGCUUUUUGAAUAAAAACAUUCCUAGGGAAGAUAUAGCUUCCUCCCCACCCUUGAUGAACUAUUCUUUCUUGAAAUGGCGGCCAUUUCACUUGAAACUAUCUACCAUGAUUACCUAUUGGUGCCUAGUUAAUUCAUUAACUGAUGGUGCUGCUCUUAGAGCUUUUAGAAGGCCAAACAUGUGUACAUGAGAUCGUGUUUCUACAUGCCAAUAAUCCCUCUUUUAUAGUUGUUUGGAUAAAGUACACUGCCAAUUCAACAAAUCCUUCUCAUGAACUUCUAAUACAGAGCGUGUUUAAUUUCAUACUGAGCACAAAGCAUAACUGAUGCCACAGCGGGGCUAUUGGCAGAAUACACAGCCCACUGCCGCAUUUUACGGAAAAAAAAUCAUUACGCACACUGAACUUACUAGGAGAGAUCGUAGUGUUCAAACCUGCAGCAAAACUUGGCAAGAGGCCAACUAUGGAUCCCGCCGCGCAGGAGGCCAUGUACUGAUGUUAGUUUACAUACUGAACUGACACACCUAGUUUGUCUUUUCAGGAAAUAAAAUAGAUGAUAGUUAAUUAUGAUGAUGAUAUCGCAACAUUUCUUCCCACAAUAGGAAAUUUAUCUCCUGAAUCUUAACAAAGUGAAGCCCCAAACCUGUCAGAGCUUAUGCAAACACUACAGCAGUACAACCACAAAGUAUACAAAUUAUAAGGUGGACUUGUCAAGUUGGCUUCUCUGAACUUGUUUUUUUGGUCUAAACUAUUUUGAGUUUUUAUGUCAAUAUAUAGUAGUCAGCAUAUAACAACAUUUAGCAACAGCAAAUUGGGCAGC
This 1662-nucleotide long non-coding RNA is filed under the name Triticum aestivum (bread wheat). Its description in RNAcentral is "long non-coding RNA (TAES_LNC022785)". The record is from RNAcentral. Lineage: Eukaryota; Viridiplantae; Streptophyta; Magnoliopsida; Poales; Poaceae.